RNAcentral lists this transfer RNA (87 nucleotides) under Candidatus Dadabacteria bacterium. Its description in RNAcentral is "tRNA-Leu". It matches the Rfam family "tRNA". Rfam says of the family: Transfer RNA (tRNA) molecules are approximately 80 nucleotides in length. Their secondary structure includes four short double-helical elements and three loops (D, anti-codon, and T loops). Further hydrogen bonds mediate the characteristic L-shaped molecular structure. tRNAs have two regions of fundamental functional importance: the anti-codon, which is responsible for specific mRNA codon recognition, and the 3' end, to which the tRNAs corresponding amino acid is attached (by aminoacyl-tRNA synthetases). tRNAs cope with the degeneracy of the genetic code in two manners: having more than one tRNA (with a specific anti-codon) for a particular amino acid; and 'wobble' base-pairing, i.e. permitting non-standard base-pairing at the 3rd anti-codon position. The record is from RNAcentral. Lineage: Bacteria; Pseudomonadati; Thermodesulfobacteriota; Candidatus Dadabacteria. RNAcentral also lists the same sequence under 1 other name.
GCCCGGGUGGCGGAAUAGGUAGACGCAAGGGACUUAAAAUCCCUCGAGUGCAAGCUUGUGCCGGUUCGAGUCCGGCCCCGGGCACCA